Molecule: ribosomal RNA, 253 nt
Filed under: uncultured bacterium
Lineage: Bacteria
Description: partial 16S ribosomal RNA
Rfam family: Bacterial small subunit ribosomal RNA
Source: RNAcentral
UACGUAGGCAGCAAGCGUUGUUCGGAGUUACUGGGCGUAAAGGGUGUGUAGGCGGUUGUUUAAGUUUGGUGUGAAAUCUCCCGGCUCAACUGGGAGGGUGCGCCGAAUACUGAAUGACUAGAGUGCGGGAGAGGAAAGUGGAAUUCCUGGUGUAGCGGUGAAAUGCGUAGAUAUCAGGAGGAACACCGGUGGUGUAGACGGCUGUCUGGACCGUAACUGACGCUGAGACACGAAAGCGUGGGUAGCAAACAGG